This 253-nucleotide ribosomal RNA is filed under the name uncultured bacterium. Its description in RNAcentral is "partial 16S ribosomal RNA". It matches the Rfam family "Bacterial small subunit ribosomal RNA", at positions 524 to 776 of the family's 1533-position model. The record is from RNAcentral.
UACGGAGGGUGCAAGCGUUGUUCGGAAUCACUGGGCGUAAAGCGCGUGUAGGCGGCUAUUUAAGUCUGAUGUGAAAGCCCUGGGCUUAACUCAGGAAGUGCAUUGGAUACUGGGUAGCUCGAGUACCGGAGAGGAGGGUGGAAUUCCUGGUGUAGCGGUGAAAUGCGUAGAUAUCAGGAGGAACACCGGUGGCGAAGGCGUCCCUCUGGCCGGAUACUGACGCUGAGACGCGAAAGCGUGGGGAGCAAACAGG